RNAcentral lists this long non-coding RNA (658 nucleotides) under Bos mutus (wild yak). RNAcentral describes it as "lncRNA (ENSBMUG00000003986.1)". Lineage: Eukaryota; Metazoa; Chordata; Mammalia; Artiodactyla; Bovidae. The record is from RNAcentral.
AACAAAACGAAACAAAAGAGCAGAAGUCAAGCUUUUGGCUAAUAUCCACCCCUGGAGCAGAUAGCUGUAGCCUAUCUCUGCAGCCUCAGGAAGUGGGCAAGAGGGGGAGAUUUGUGUGUGCUUGCGAGUAUGGGUGUCGUGGGUGGUGCAGAUUUCCGGGGUCAGCCAGCAACUGCCCUGGGAUUCCAACGGCAGAGGCCCAGCCUGGGGAGAACUUUCCAAAGACCAGCCAUUUCCUCUGGGCUGCUCCAGGGGCCUUGCCCGAGCCCACCAGCUCAUUUAAGCUCUGCUCUGGUCCCGCUGCAGGACUACAGAGCAGCCGGCUCCGCGCCCAGUUUGCCUGCCGUGUAACAGGAUAGUUUAUAUUAUACCGCCGAGCAGAAAUAAAACUACUGACUCAAACAUUGCAAACAGAUGCCGCCCGCCAGAGCCCAGGGUCCGCGGCCAGAUGCUGUUCUGAGAACCCUGGGAGGGCAGAAGCUGGGAGUCUGGUCCCUCCAGACCCUACAGAAUUCGGCCAGUUCGCCACUUGAGACCUGCCCGUUUCUGGAUUUUAAUGGCCUUUUUUCCCAGGCAGAGGUGAAAGAAACCCGGGAAGCCUCCUGGAAAUCCCAUGUGAGUUCUCCUCAAAUACCCCCAAAUAAAUAUGCUCUGAGUG